AACGAACGCUGGCGACGCGCCUAAUACAUGCAAGUCGAACGAGAAGGUGUAGCAAUACACUUGUACAGUGGCGAACGGGUGAGGAAUGCAUGGGCAACCUACCCUCGAGUGGGGAAUAACCAGCCGAAAGGUUGGCUAAUACCGCGUACGCUUCCGGGUCUCCGGAUCCGGAAGGAAAGUCACACCGUGGGUGUGACGCUCAAGGAUGGGCUCAUGUCCUAUCAGCUUGUGGUGAGGUAACGGCUCACCAAGGCAACGACGGGUAGCUGGUCUGAGAGGACGAUCAGCCACACUGGCACUGCGACACGGGCCAGACUCCUACGGGAGGCAGCAGUAAGGAAUAUUGCGCAAUGGGCGAAAGCCUGACGCAGCGACGCCGCGUGUGCGAUGAAGGCCUUUUGGGUCGUAAAGCACUGUCGAUCGGGACGAAAACUCACGAGCUAAUACCUCGUGAGCUUGACGGUA
Molecule: ribosomal RNA, 465 nt
Filed under: uncultured bacterium
Lineage: Bacteria
Description: bacterial SSU rRNA
Rfam family: Bacterial small subunit ribosomal RNA
Source: RNAcentral